GGCCUCCCACUCUGCCUGGCAAAGAACGGAUGUGCUCACAUCAGGAAUAUUUUAAUGAAGCAGGGUCUUUGUGAUCUGUAUCUGUGGUGCCAGUCCUGCUGACCUCCUUUCUCGUCCUGUGACUAGUGAUGUCUAAGCUCCUGGGAAUGCAGCCCUGUAGGUCUCAGCCUUAUUUUACCCAGCCCCUAUUCAAGAUGCAGUUGCUCUGGUUGGAACGUCUCUGACAGUAUGAGUUUGGGAAGAGUUGGAAAUGCUGAAGAAGUGACCUGGAGACAGCGAAGAUGUGUUCUCUACCUGGCCAGCGUCAUGUUGCCUGUUUGCUUACUGCACGCAUGGUGACAAAACAGAAGCCUCCAUGUUGGAUAUGCCUGGGUCCUAGGUGUCAGGCCUCUGAGCCCAAGCUAAGCCAUCAUAUCCCCUGUGACCUGCACGUAUACAUCCAGAUGGCCUGAAGCAACUGAAGAUCCACAAAAGAAGGGAAAAUAGCCUUAACUGAUGACAUUCCACCGUUGUGAUUUGUUUCUGCCCCACCCUAACUGAUCAGCGUACUUUGUAAUCUCCCCCACCCUUAAGAAGGUUCUUUAUAAUUCUCCCCACCCUUGAGAAUGUACUUUGUGAGAUCCACCCCCUGCCUGCAAAACAUUGCUCCUAACUCCACCACCUAUCCCCAAACCUCUAAGAACUAGUGAUAAUCCACCACCCUUUGCUGACUCUCUUUUCGGACUCAGUCUGCCUGCACCCAGGUGAAAUAAAC
Molecule: long non-coding RNA, 754 nt
Filed under: Homo sapiens (human)
Lineage: Eukaryota; Metazoa; Chordata; Mammalia; Primates; Hominidae
Description: HSALNT0196441
Source: RNAcentral